AGUGAACGCUGGCGGCGUGCUUAACACAUGCAAGUCGAACGAGAACGGAUUAUAGCUUGCUAUAAUUGUCAGCUAAGUGGCGCACGGGUGAGUAAUGUAUAGGUAAUAUGCCUCUUACUAAGGGAUAACAAAUGGAAACGUUUGCUAAUACCUUAUACUCCUUAUUAACAGAAGUUAAUAAGUGAAAGAUUUAUUGGUAAGAGAUUAGCCUGUAUUGUAUCAGUUAGUUGGUGGGGUAAUGGCUUACCAAGACUAUGACACAUAACUGGUUUGAGAGGAUGAUCAGUCACACUGGAACUGAGACACGGUCCAGACUCCUACGGGAGGCAGCAGUGGGGAAUAUUGCACAAUGGACGAAAGUCUGAUGCAGCAACGCCGCGUGGAGGAAGUCACAUUUCGGUGCGUAAACUCCUUUUAUAUGAGAAGAUAAUGACGGUAUUAUAUGAAUAAGCACCGGCUAACUCCGUGCCAGCCGCCGCCGUAA
This 484-nucleotide ribosomal RNA is filed under the name uncultured bacterium. RNAcentral's name for it is "partial 16S ribosomal RNA". It matches the Rfam family "Bacterial small subunit ribosomal RNA", at positions 29 to 523 of the family's 1533-position model. The record is from RNAcentral.